RNAcentral lists this ribosomal RNA (612 nucleotides) under uncultured bacterium. RNAcentral describes it as "bacterial SSU rRNA". It matches the Rfam family "Bacterial small subunit ribosomal RNA", at positions 338 to 951 of the family's 1533-position model. The record is from RNAcentral.
CCUACGGGAGGCAGCAGUAAGGAAUAUUGGUCAAUGGACGCAAGUCUGAACCAGCCAUGCCGCGUGAAGGAUUAAGGCCCUCUGGGUUGUAAACUUCUUUUAUAGGGGACGAAAAAAGGGCAUUCUUGCUCACUUGACGGUACCCUAGGAAUAAGCACCGGCUAACUCCGUGCCAGCAGCCGCGGUAAUACGGAGGGUGCAAGCGUUAUCCGGAUUUACUGGGUUUAAAGGGUGCGUAGGUGGGUUGGUAAGUCAGUGGUGAAAUCUUCGAGCUUAACUCGGAAACUGCCAUUGAUACUAUCAAUCUUGAAUCAUCUAGAGGUAAGCGGAAUAUGUCAUGUAGCGGUGAAAUGCUUAGAUAUGACAUAGAACACCAAUUGCGAAGGCAGCUUACUAUGGAUAUAUUGACACUGAGGCACGAAAGCGUGGGGAUCAAACAGGAUUAGAUACCCUGGUAGUCCACGCCCUAAACGAUGGAUACUCGACAUUUGUGAUAUACUAUAAGUGUCUGAGCGAAAGCAUUAAGUAUCCCACCUGGAAGUACGACCGCAAGGUUGAAACUCAAAGAGAGUAGACGNGNGAGAGAGACGACGACGACGACGAGGGAGGAGG